Molecule: long non-coding RNA, 1540 nt
Filed under: Cricetulus griseus (Chinese hamster)
Lineage: Eukaryota; Metazoa; Chordata; Mammalia; Rodentia; Cricetidae
Description: lncRNA (ENSCGRG00015040272.1)
Source: RNAcentral
UUUAAAUAGAUGUUAUUAGAAAUAAAUAUUACAAUGCUAUUUUCUCAUAUUUUUCCAUUGGUGAUUCCUCUUAUAUGCUUAAAAUGGCAAAUAUUGUUUUCUAAAAUGCAAAACAUAUUUACUUACAUUUAAUGUGAAACAUACUGGUAAUUUGAGGCUGUUGUACCUCUGAAUAGAGACUCCUAAAUUUAUUAAUUUUGGAUUAAUUAAAAUUUCUUUGUUUUAUAAGGAGAGAAGACACUAAACUUUUAUAGUUUAAUUGAAAAUGAAAUGUGCUUUGACCUUGGAGAAAAUGAAUGUAAAGAAUAACGAUAAUAGCAAAUAGUGAAAUGGAAAAUAAUAAUAAUAAAAGAGAACAAGGGAGUCAUACUUGAUGGAUAUAUUCAAUUUGUUUCAUGUGUAUGCGUUAUAUUUUUGUAUAUACUGUUUUUUAGGCAGUUGGAUUGUUGGAAGCUGUUUCUUUAUCCAUAAUUUUGAGGAUACCUUUAACUUUAGAAAUAAAAUAGGUUUUUGAAGGACAAAACUACUAGUAAUUAGAAGGAUUCCACAGCCUUAAUGAAAACAAAAAUAACAAAUAUUUAUACAGAAAUACAAACUUUCUAUUAAUGAUGUAAAGUAUAAUGAAAUUUCAGAUUGCUGUUUUUAUCAGAGAUGUGGUAUUCUGAAUCAACAAAUCAUUGGCUUUCGCUUUUAGAAUUCCCUCAUCUCUGCUGAAAAGCAUGAAACCACAUGGUAAAUAUCAAUAACAUCUUCAAAUUUCAACAAAUGUCAGGUCAGAAUGAAGUCCAGAUUUCCUGGCAAGAGAAAUAUAGCCAUGGAUGAUGUGAUAUCUUACGGAAUCAGGAGCAACUAAGGAACAGCAACUCCUUUAAAAAAGAAGAAAAACAGAGUCUUUUCUCAACAGAGAGAUGGAAUUUCAUGCCUGUCCUAUAACCCUCAUCAAAAGCCUGUGGCUGAGACUAAGAGACUAACGAGUCACCUCAAUCAGCCCACCACCACCAAGGCUCCAGGAACAUCAUAGUGGAAUUAGCAGAAAUCAUGUAAGCGCUGGAAGAUCAGAAAGAUUACUAUAAGAGGUUACCAUCUGACAUGACUAUAACACUGAAGGUCACUGUCACUGUGGUGACCUCCACAAAAUCUACUCGGCAUCAAGAGAGACAGAAUUCUGAUCAAAUUCUGAUAUUGAUGUGAUAGGGGAUCAUCAUGUCCCCAUAUGUGGUCCAUAAUAGGUUUUCAAUGAUCCAGUGAAUAGCCUGACACCAGCGGAUGUGUGGGCAACACUAACUGGACAUAAUGACUUGAGAGGGGGCGGGUGGAUGGGAGAGAAACACAAAGUCUGUGUUACAUUAGGACAGAGAUAUGAAAUUCUCAAAAGGAAGACAAAGUUUUUAAAUGGAAAGUCGUCAGAGAUUUGCAAAUGAACAUUUAAUUUUUGCUUCUGGGUUGAUAAGCUUGAACAUGGGAACUUAAUUGAACACCAUCUGUUGAAUUGGACACAUGAUAAAGAGCACUAGUCUAAUUUACCAUAUAUGAACCUGAG